This is a non-coding RNA of Schistosoma margrebowiei, 46 nucleotides long. The record is from Rfam. NCBI's taxonomy places the organism in Eukaryota, Metazoa, Platyhelminthes, Trematoda, Strigeidida, Schistosomatidae.
GCACUACUGAGGAGUCCCACAAUAGGAUGAAACGGCUGUCCAGUGC